AGCAAGUGCACUCUGUGUCACAAUGAUUAAACAACAACACAUGUGAAGACAAUUUUGAAGCUUGCCAGAUUAAUUUACUAUAUCUAUAUGAGAAGUGCCUUCAGCUUAUCCGUGUGGCAGGGGAAAUAAUUUGAAGCAACUUGCCACAUUGAAUCUGGGUACAACAAAGU
Drosophila willistoni is the source of this 170-nucleotide small nucleolar RNA. RefSeq annotates it as small nucleolar RNA psi18S-841/snoR66. The record is from RefSeq and is a predicted model, not a curated record. NCBI's taxonomy places the organism in Eukaryota, Metazoa, Arthropoda, Insecta, Diptera, Drosophilidae. The transcript has a single exon.